ACGGGUGUAGUUCAGUGGACAGAACGAGGGUUUACGAAGCCCUGCGCCGGAGGUUCGACUCCUUCCAUCCGUA
This 73-nucleotide transfer RNA is filed under the name Caudoviricetes sp. RNAcentral's name for it is "tRNA-Arg". It matches the Rfam family "tRNA". From Rfam's summary of the family: Transfer RNA (tRNA) molecules are approximately 80 nucleotides in length. Their secondary structure includes four short double-helical elements and three loops (D, anti-codon, and T loops). Further hydrogen bonds mediate the characteristic L-shaped molecular structure. tRNAs have two regions of fundamental functional importance: the anti-codon, which is responsible for specific mRNA codon recognition, and the 3' end, to which the tRNAs corresponding amino acid is attached (by aminoacyl-tRNA synthetases). tRNAs cope with the degeneracy of the genetic code in two manners: having more than one tRNA (with a specific anti-codon) for a particular amino acid; and 'wobble' base-pairing, i.e. permitting non-standard base-pairing at the 3rd anti-codon position. The record is from RNAcentral. Lineage: Duplodnaviria; Heunggongvirae; Uroviricota; Caudoviricetes.